Molecule: ribosomal RNA, 465 nt
Filed under: Vreelandella stevensii
Lineage: Bacteria; Pseudomonadati; Pseudomonadota; Gammaproteobacteria; Oceanospirillales; Halomonadaceae
Description: partial 16S ribosomal RNA
Rfam family: Bacterial small subunit ribosomal RNA
Source: RNAcentral
CCUACGGGGGGCUGCAGUGGGGAAUAUUGGACAAUGGGGGCAACCCUGAUCCAGCCAUGCCGCGUGUGUGAAGAAGGCCCUCGGGGUGUAAAGCACUUUCAGUGAGGAAGAACGCCUGGUGGUUAAUACCCAUCAGGAAAGACAUCACUCACAGAAGAAGCACCGGCUAACUCCGUGCCAGCAGCCGCGGUAAUACGGAGGGUGCGAGCGUUAAUCGGAAUUACUGGGCGUAAAGCGCGCGUAGGUGGCUUGAUAAGCCGGUUGUGAAAGCCCCGGGCUCAACCUGGGAACGGCAUCCGGAACUGUCAAGCUAGAGUGCAGGAGAGGAAGGUAGAAUUCCCGGUGUAGCGGUGAAAUGCGUAGAGAUCGGGAGGAAUACCAGUGGCGAAGGCGGCCUUCUGGACUGACACUGACACUGAGGUGCGAAAGCGUGGGUAGCAAACAGGAUUAGAUACCCGAGUAGUC